UACGUAGGGGGCGAGCGUUGUCCGGAUUUAUUGGGCGUAAAGAGCUCGUAGGCGGUUCGGCAAGUCGGAUGUGAAAUCUCCAGGCUCAACCUGGAGGGGUCAUUCGAUACUGCCGUGACUAGAGGUCGGUAGGGGAGUGUGGAAUUCCUGGUGGAGCGGUGAAAUGCGCAGAUAUCAGGAGGAACACCCGUAGCGAAGGCGGCACUCUGGGCCGAUACUGACACUGAGGAGCGAAAGCGUGGGGAGCGAACAGG
This 254-nucleotide ribosomal RNA is filed under the name uncultured bacterium. Its description in RNAcentral is "partial 16S ribosomal RNA". It matches the Rfam family "Bacterial small subunit ribosomal RNA", at positions 524 to 776 of the family's 1533-position model. The record is from RNAcentral.